UCAUUCCGAUUAACAUGCCGGGCUACCAUUGGUAUCUAGCAGUCGCCAAUGCCAAAAAACGUGAGAUUCAAGUAUUGGACUCACUUGGUUCUCGGGUCAAACGCAAUGACCUUGCUACUACGUUACUAGGACUCGAGAAGUGUCUGAAACUUGUAGAGCAUAGACCGGAUUUUAUCAGAGGUCAUAAGUGGCCCGAUCUGAAUGUUACAAAAUGGACGGUUGUAGAGCAGUUUCAUGAGGCAAUACAAACCGAUGGCGUAUCAUGUGGACUGUUUAUGCUAAAUUAUAUGGAAUACUGGACAUCACAUGCACUGUCAGACCAAUUCACCCAGGUAUUUCGUUUUUAUACAUUAUCUCGUUAUUUUAUCUCAAAAUAAUAUAUAAAUUGUUUUUAUAUAUAUCUUGUAGGAGGAUAUGAAACA
Molecule: long non-coding RNA, 422 nt
Organism: Triticum aestivum (bread wheat)
Lineage: Eukaryota; Viridiplantae; Streptophyta; Magnoliopsida; Poales; Poaceae
Exons: 3
Source: RefSeq, a predicted model, not a curated record